GACGAACGCUGGCGGCGUGCUUAACACAUGCAAGUCGAGCGGUAAGGCCCUUCGGGGGUACACGAGCGGCGAACGGGUGAGUAACACGUGAGCAACCUACCCGCCACAUCGGGAUAACCUCGGGAAACCGAGGCUAAUACCGAAUACGACCAGCUGCGGCAUCGCAUGCUGGUGGAAAGCUCCGGCGGUGGCGGAUGGGCUCGCGGCCUAUCAGCUAGUUGGUGGGGUAAUGGCCUACCAAGGCGUCGACGGGUAGCCGGCCUGAGAGGGUGUACGGCCACAUUGGGACUGAGAUACGGCCCAG
This 304-nucleotide ribosomal RNA is filed under the name uncultured bacterium. RNAcentral's name for it is "bacterial SSU rRNA". It matches the Rfam family "Bacterial small subunit ribosomal RNA", at positions 28 to 334 of the family's 1533-position model. The record is from RNAcentral.